Molecule: long non-coding RNA, 6651 nt
Organism: Onychostoma macrolepis
Lineage: Eukaryota; Metazoa; Chordata; Actinopteri; Cypriniformes; Cyprinidae
Exons: 3
Source: RefSeq, a predicted model, not a curated record
AUUACUUUAAUAUUUUCUUUGAGUCUCUUAUCAGAAAUUACGAUUUCAUACCUAUCCGCAAUUUUUAAUAAUUGUUCUUUUGUGCAUUUUUCCAAAAGAUUACAAGAAGGCGAAUUAAAGAAAUCAACAUCAGCCAUGAAAACAAUCGCCAAAAAUCAAUUAUAAUGUGCAAUUAAAUAACGAGAAUUUUCCCUCUACCUAUAUUCCAACAACUACCUACCUCAACCCUAGUCUUCAUGCGAUUAUUUGUGGGGGGUACUUACGCACUGUAGCCCGCUGGGUGAAAAACGCAACUGGUAACACCAGCGACGCCUUCAACACCACGGAUGUGCUCCCGAGAUAAAUACUACUACCCACGUUCACCGCAACACUACAGAAAAACAACAAACUCGACACAUCUCAAAAGAAACGUGCCGCUAUGCCUAACAGGGAAAAUCUCCUUCAAACAACAUUGCACAACAUAAUUACUCACCACCUGGCGACAUUCCAUGGCGACUAAUUUACUUUGGCACAAACUAACUCACGUGUGUCUCAAAUUAUCAAACAAUACUCAAAACCAAACGCGCUUAACAAAAUAAUUUAAACAAACGGACGAGCCCCCAAUUUGUUACGACCCAUGGCUCAAGGGAAGCAACAAACAGAGGACACACGCGAAACCAAAAUGUUGACUCAAAAUAUAAUUUAUUUAAGGACUGAAACCACAUAGAAAAAUAAAGAAACUAUAAAGAAACAAUCAUGAAUUGGAAAACGUCAGUAAUGUCAGGGUGUAAUGUAAGAUGCAUGAAUGUAAGGGAAUGUAGUGUGCUGCAGUGUUGAAGGUGCCAAAACAAAAGCCAACCAAACCAAAAGUCCAAAACCAAAGUCAGCUCUCAGACCCAAGCGGAGGCCUCUUUUAACAAAGCAUCUAAUAACAAACCGGUGUUUCAAACGACUGCCAAUCAAGGUAAUUUGCGGACUCAGCGGCAGUUCCAUGAAAAGACGACAGGGGUCGUCACACUCAUUAGCGACUGUUUCUAUGGGCCGCUAUACGUAAGCCAUUGUAAUGGUCAGCUUGAUGUUAUUCACCAUAGUAAUCACUGAAUAUUCGAAAGAUGCCACAAUCCUGCAAAGCCGAUGGUCUGCAAACCCAACGACUCUGUGCGAAUCUACAGUAUGGUGAAUGACGUCAAGUUGACCGUUCCAAGAUGGCGGCCGCAUCUACAUGCCUGGAGCGGCCGAAUGGGGAAUCUGUAUUUGUAUAAUAGCUCAUAUGUAUAUGUACAUAUAUAUGAAUCGAUCAGGUUCGAUUUUCUGCGUUUUCGCAUCUGUAAGCAUGCAUUUGAUAGGAAAGGAUGAGGAAUACGAAAAAAACUGAAAAACGCACGCGAAAAGUUCGGACUCAGUGUGCAAUGACCUUAAAGAUUAUCUUAUCAGAUUUUCCUGUGGUGUGUUAAAGAGUGACUGAAUCUGCUCGGAAGAAUGUCGGAGGCGCCCCGAUCGCGAAUCGUAAAUAUUCAAUGCUGAAUAUAUGCGAUCAGAAAUCCUGAUGUGUGGGGGGAACAUCACGGCACACCACACACUAUAGGAGCAAAACUGUUAAAUCUAGGAUUUUUUGUCCUUGUGUUUGUGGUCUCUCACAUUUUGAAGAUCUUAUAAGAUUUUAAAAAUCUUUUAGUGUGUACCCAGCAUUAGCUGGUAUAGGCCAUUAGAUCAUCAGCCUGUCAACUUGAAGAUAAUGAAGCAUCUCUCCACUGUUACAUUUUAGAUGGGUACUACUGUUUCAUGAAAUCACUGAAACAUCUUGCUUUGUGUGCUCUCAGGUGAGAAUGCACCUCUCAGAAACCCUUAUGGGGAUGUUUUAUGUAAUUUAUUACCUGCAGGUAAACAUUCCCUCACUUAGAAUAAUCCACAUUCAUGAAGAUAAGAACAAAUACUAUUAUGCUUUUUUACACCUUCAAUUUCCUUUAGAGCAUAAUGUUGCUGUUUGUGCUUGAAUAGAAGUCAUUCAUUCAUUCAUUGUGCUUGAAAAGAAGUAACAGAGCACACUGUCUACUCCAAAAUGAUUUAUUCUCUGUAUCUGUUUCUGAACUACAUCGAUUGUAGUCCUGAGUUUUCUUCUGGGAAUGUACGUCACAACAUUCCAAAUUCAAAUAAUUCCUGUCCGUGUUAAUGAUAGUAAAUGAUUUUGACUAGAACUUAAUGGAUUAUACCACUGCCGUUACAUUAUUUAUGCUGUUCUACUUGAACCUCUUAAAGGGAUAGUUCACCCAAAAAUGAAAAUUCUGUCAUUUACUUUUUUGUGUGGGAAACAAAAAAUUAUGAUUUUAAGAUACUAACCAAACAGUUUUGGUUACAAUGGGAGAAAAAAAGAGGCAGUAAAGGCUAUGUUACACAGUAGUCAUCAAGAACAAUAGUCAUUCAGGGCAUGAGCAUGAUUGUUUACAUUCUGAGAAUUGAAUAUGUAAUUAAUAAUAUGUGGAGAUAAAAUUAGAUACAUUAUUAUUUAUUAUUUCUACCUAUACUCUAAAACUCAGUGAUUUCUAAAAUAUCAACCAAGUUUGGAUAUGGAUAGAUUUAAAUAGUAACAUUUAAAUGUAGCCCUCUUGGUGGUGAUAAAACCAACAGUUUAGGGGCCCUUUCUGCUAAUAUACACACCCAUAUUAAAAACCUGUCCAGUGGGAUUUAAGGGAAAUUAAAAGGCCAGUAAAUUAGUGACAAACCAUAUCCAAACCAAUCAGUACCAACAAAGGCACUGGCAGUGAUGAUAUGUCACAGUAGACAAUUCAUGUUACCCUUUAUUUAUUAUUACUUGUGGGUUGUUUUAACAGAACACUGGUUGCUUUGUUUGAUUCAGCCCCAAAAUAUGAUAAUGUUGCACAAUAAUGUUGUGAAACUUCCCUUCAUACUGGGAAUAAUGACUAACUGAAAUCUGUCCUCUCACUUUGUCAUCUGGUGAAAGCCUGUGUUAAACACUCUUCACCUGCUGCUUGUCCUAAAGCCCUAAACACACUGCACGAUUUUCGGGAGUUGUGAAAUCCUGUCCUAAAGGUUUAUGACUGGUCUAAUGAAGACCUGUGCUGGCCUCAUUGGUUCACCAGCCCUGUUUAGAAUUCAUGUUUUUAGAGUUAUAUAUUGUUAGUUGUUAUACUUUGUCUGCACUUAAACUUAAGCUCAGUUUCUCCUUAUUUUGCUUAUUUAGACUUUGUAAAGAAAACUGUUCUAAGCGCUGUUUAAAUUAGUUUUUACAUUAUGGAUUUUAUAUAUUAUGAAGUUGCCAGAUAUUUAAAGAAAUCUCAGUAUAUAAAGUAUCAAAAGUUGUAUGAAUGCAAAACUGAUUUCUGUAAGGAAAUUGGCUGUAUGGCAUGUUUGUUUUUUGCUUGUGUGUUUUGCAUCAUCUGACUUAUCACACACAGCCUCAGUGUUACAUGCUUUGAACAAAUAAAGUUUAAUUAUCUAAAUCCAUUUUGCUGCAUUUAUUUACAUUGCACUGGAGCAGGGGUGUCAAACUCAGUUCCUGGAGGGCCGGAGCCCUGCAGAGUUUAGGUGCAACCCCAGAUAAACACACCUGAUCCAGCUAAUCAGUUCCUUCAGGCUUAUUUGAAAACUACAUGGUUUGUGUGUUGGAGUAGGGUUGGCACAAAACUCUGCAGGGCUGCGGACCUCCAGGAACUGAGUUUGAAGCCCCUGCACUAAAAAAAUGAUUCGGUCUAAAUUUACAUUUUAUGUAAUUCAAUUGCAUAACAAUUUUCCAUCCAUUUAAAUUACAUAGUUUUAACAUAAACAAAUCAAUAAACUUAAUGUGAUUCAUAUCCAUCAGUCAUACGUGAAUGAAACGGGUAAGAUUUAUGUAAUAAUUCACAAAAAAGUCCCCACACUGCUCAGUGUUCAUGUGUUUCCACACUACACACUGUAAAAACUAAAGGUGCCUCAAAUAUCCCUUUGAGUACUCGAGGAACUUCAAAAUGUAAUUUAAGUGCCUCAAAGCUCUUUUUUUCAUAACGGGUUCCUGGAGGAACCAUUUCAUUCUUUGCAGUUCUUGCAAGAACUUAUGGGAUCCUUGAAGCACUUUGUUUCCAGUUCUGAGGUUCUGGAGUCACCCUUUCAUUACACAGAGACCUCAAAGUGCUCUGGAGGUUCCUGGAGGAACUCAAAUUUUUUAAAAGGGUUUUUGUAAGAUCUGUUAACGUUGAAAUGGUUCCUGGAAGAUCUGACUUGUAUAAGCCAGCAUCUGGAGGAACCCAGAGAUUCAUGUGACAGAAAUGAAAUAGGACUGAUUAUUAUUAUUGUUGUUAUUAUUAUUAUUAUUAUUUACUUUUUUGGAAUGGUAUGGAACGUAAUCACUUUUGUGGCACUUGGCAUGUGAAAACAAAAAACUUGGGCAUGAUUAGAAAAGACUAAAUAGUCUUACAAAUUGUCAAAAAAAGGGACAUGCAAAAUCUACAAAUCAGCCACGUAUAUCUAAAAAUUAUGUCUGAAAACACUGUUUUCAGCAAUAGGGAAUAUACACACAAGGCCAUACAGGCAGUGGCUACACCAUGGUAUUACAGAUUAUUUUCUUUAUUUCUUUCUGUCAGAUUGCACUUUUAUGCCUCCAUUUGUUGGAUUUUAAAUACCUUUGUUGUAUAACUUAAAUACUGCAAUAACUGAAAAAUAGUUUUUAGUUUAGAAAGAAAUGUAAAAUUAUUUGAAGGUAGAUAUUGUUUUCCCUGAAACUUUAAAGCAAACAUUAAAAAUAUUAUUGAACUAAAUAUGGCUCAACACAUUUGAUUAAAAAUACACUAAUUAUAACAAUCAGUACAAGUGUAAUAUUUAUAUUUUUAUUUCCCUAAUGAAAUAACUUUCAAUUAUUCAGAAAUAAUUGUUUAACAAUUAAUAUAAUAAAAGUAUGCUGUUGUCAGGAAGAAGAAAAUGUCCUCGCGCACCUGCUGUCUGCUCGCGCGCGCACAUGCAAGUGCGAUUUCAAAUACAAAGUAUCAUUAACGGUUCCUCUCCUCAAAGAAACAACCACAGCGCAGGACUGUCUAACAAAAGGUGAGUAAAUUCUCCAAAAUAAAUAUACAGAUUUACUAUUUGUACACAAAUUUCUGUACUGACACGCUUAACUGUAUGUUUUUAUAUUUAAAUGUUUGUUGUAUACCAUUUUAACCGCUAAUUUAAUAGCCGCGAUGCUAGCUAUCAUAAUGAACUUAGUGGGGCGAAAUGGAGAGUAUUAAAUCACAAACGGCGAUUUUUAGUCAGCUUUGUUCAUUAUGUUCACUUUUAGUCAUUGUAACUGUCUUCUUUUCUGAACUAAUUUGUUGUCGUUUACGUUUGUUAAUCGUUACCCAUCCAUAUUACAUGUAGACUAUCUAAUAGCUUAUUUUUCGAUUCAUUUAACUUACAGAAAAAAACUGUUUUUGUCCUUUUCUCUCCUCAGAACCUAUACAUUUAACAGGGUUCACUGAGCAGCACUAAUCAGUUAAUGAAGACGUAUGUUUCAUGAAUAUGGCUCUGUAGUGGACUGCUGGAGCUGCUGAUGUCUGUUGCUGGCUGACAAUAAAGUGAUCUCUUUGGACUUAGCUCAUCUUUUGAAGGUGUGUAAAUAACAACAAUUGAGGAGAAACAUCAGAAACCGAUCUAAAACAUUCAAUUACUUAUAGUUUAUAUGUUUUAUUUUUUUCCACUUUUAUAUUCUUCUGAGAAAUCCGAGCCUUGCUCCUGAUCCUGCUGUGCUGGACGGUAUAUGAUUAAUUGAGAAUCUUACACUAACUGUGGUAAUGGAGACCCAUUUGGUGAGAGCAGCACUGCAGAUUUUCCUGAUGGUGAGGAGCUACUUGCUGACGAACCUACCAACAUGAUUUCACCUUAUAAGUGCCUUUGUUCUAUUCAACAUUAUACAGAAAAGCUGUUAAACGUACAGCAAAGUGUACUAUUUUUCUGCUGCUAUUUGUUGGGUAUUCAGGAGGAGAUCAUCAAGCUACCUACAGCUGUCUUGAGGCUUAUCAAUUUCUUAACUUUCUGUGUGAAUUUUCCCAAUAUGUGACCUCUAUUUAGAACAAGAAAGAAUGUUAUUGACUGCGAUGUACAUUACAUUUGCUCAUUUGAAUUGUACUAUUUUUGAGGUAUGAUUGUUUUAAAGUUCUAAGAUAUUUGAGUCACAUUUAUUUGGGAACAAAUAUUAAAGAACUGAAAUUGAGAAAUGGUGCCUCGAAGCACCAAGGUGGUUCCUGACCAUUCUUAAUUAAAGGGUUCCUCCAGGAACCGUUAAAAGUUCCUCAGAGAACCACCCCUUUUUAAAGGGUGCCUAGAGGCUCUACAGAGGGUUCCGCCACAGUGGCAAAGUGAAGAACCCCAAAAGGUGCCUCCAGGAACCUUUAGUUUUUACAGUGAGAGUGUUCAAAUAGCAUUGAAGCAGUGUUGAGUUAAGAAGAUAAUUAUGUGAUGAUUGAUCAGUAAUGAUGGACACCUGCUGUUAUCAAGAAGAAUCACCAAAGGAAAGAGAAACACAAGAACUACAACUGACUUCAGCCACAGCCGAAGAUGAAAUCAACUGAUAUAAAAGACAUUAAAUCUCUCAAAAUCAGAUUAAACAACUCCACAAACAACAUCAGAUGGACUUUAUUUCUGUCAGACUUCUAGAGAAGCUCUUGUUGAGAAUUAACAAAGGUUUAGAUGCUUUAUUGUUUUGUUUGA